RNAcentral lists this ribosomal RNA (852 nucleotides) under Salinivibrio sp. ML289. RNAcentral's name for it is "bacterial SSU rRNA". It matches the Rfam family "Bacterial small subunit ribosomal RNA", at positions 8 to 836 of the family's 1533-position model. Lineage: Bacteria; Pseudomonadati; Pseudomonadota; Gammaproteobacteria; Vibrionales; Vibrionaceae. The record is from RNAcentral.
AGAGUUUGAACAUGGCUCAGAUUGAACGCUGGCGGCAGGCCUAACACAUGCAAGUCGAGCGGAAACGGCAGUAUUGAAGCUUCGGUGGAUUUACUGGACGUCGAGCGGCGGACGGGUGAGUAACGGCUGGGAACCUGCCCUGACGAGGGGGAUAACCGUUGGAAACGACGGCUAAUACCGCAUAAUGUCUACGGACCAAAGGUGGCCUCUACAUGUAAGCUAUCGCGUUGGGAUGGGCCCAGUUAGGAUUAGCUAGUUGGUAAGGUAAUGGCUUACCAAGGCGACGAUCCUUAGCUGGUUUGAGAGGAUGAUCAGCCACACUGGGACUGAGACACGGCCCAGACUCCUACGGGAGGCAGCAGUGGGGAAUAUUGCACAAUGGGGGAGACCCUGAUGCAGCCAUGCCGCGUGUGUGAAGAAGGCCUUCGGGUUGUAAAGCACUUUCAGCAGUGAGGAAGGUGGUGUACUUAAUACGUGCAUGGCUUGACGUUAGCUGCAGAAGAAGCACCGGCUAACUCCGUGCCAGCAGCCGCGGUAAUACGGAGGGUGCGAGCGUUAAUCGGAAUUACUGGGCGUAAAGCGCAUGCAGGCGGUUUGUUAAGUCAGAUGUGAAAGCCCGGGGCUCAACCUCGGAACCGCAUUUGAAACUGGCAGGCUAGAGUCUUGUAGAGGGGGGUAGAAUUUCAGGUGUAGCGGUGAAAUGCGUAGAGAUCUGAAGGAAUACCAGUGGCGAAGGCGGCCCCCUGGACAAAGACUGACGCUCAGAUGCGAAAGCGUGGGUAGCAAACAGGAUUAGAUACCCUGGUAGUCCACGCCGUAAACGCUGUCUACUUGGAGGUUGAGGUUUAAGAA